RNAcentral lists this long non-coding RNA (745 nucleotides) under Eucalyptus grandis. RNAcentral describes it as "long non-coding RNA (EGRA_LNC005957)". The record is from RNAcentral. Lineage: Eukaryota; Viridiplantae; Streptophyta; Magnoliopsida; Myrtales; Myrtaceae.
CACUUCAGUCGGUCACUCUCGACUAGCCAUUCUACACCAAUGCAGAUGAAGAAGAUAAGAUGAGAGGGAAUGAGACCUCCCAAUCAUCACAGAAUGAUGGCAGAUUUUGUCUUCCUGCGGGUAAUUUUUCAUCAUUUGUCCCUUUCUCUUCCAUUUCUUUUACUCUAAACAUAUUCUACGUCGCAACGAGAAGGAAGAAGGUGUCAAAUGGGAAGCUCCAAAGGAAGCUGCACUACUCCAUAACGUGAUCGAGGCGUAAUUCAAAUAUUGGGAGAGUGACAAAAAGAAUUUACUCCAAUUUGGCCUCGUUCCGUCUUGGUCACUUCGCUUUUCUCAUCGACAGGUCUAUUCUGUACAACCAGGCCACAAGAUAUUGGCGAGCCAAGGAGAGAUUCACGCACGCACGAUAACAGACGGUCCCAAAAAUACGUGCAGAAGCUGCACUAGGUGGGAACAACUAUGUAGCAGGCAUCUGAGAAGUCGUUUUCCUUCAGAACUGGACGGUCGAGAGACAAGGUUCGACACAUUGGCACAUUUCGUCAUUCGAUCUAUCCAGCUGAAUCUCACUACUGACAGCGCAAAUUGGAAAGGGUGAUGUGUUUAAUGAUGAAAUCUAUCAUCUGCUGCUAGUUUCUGUUUCCAUACCCAGCAAAUUAUUCAGAUCUCAGCUGGUUUGAUGAUAAGCAGUAAAGAGAAGAAGCAUUUGCAAUCUCUCUGAUGGGUAAUUUCAGUACCGAAUCCUGAC